RNAcentral lists this non-coding RNA (21 nucleotides) under Caenorhabditis elegans. Lineage: Eukaryota; Metazoa; Nematoda; Chromadorea; Rhabditida; Rhabditidae. The record is from RNAcentral.
UAAAAAAUUUUUCGUUUCAAA